Molecule: long non-coding RNA, 413 nt
Organism: Oreochromis aureus
Lineage: Eukaryota; Metazoa; Chordata; Actinopteri; Cichliformes; Cichlidae
Exons: 3
Source: RefSeq, a predicted model, not a curated record
UUAGGUGAAAAUACAUGGCAUGCAUUCAAAUUACCAUAGGUGAAAUCCUCUUCAGAAGUCAGUGAUCUCAAACACCUGCCCGUGGCUGAUAUCAGUGUGUGUGUGUGUGUGUGUGUGUGUGUGUGUUUCCUGGGCCUUUGAGAGGAGAACUCUCAGUGACGCCGUACAGAGAGACAGAAUGAGGACGUCACAGGCAGUUUAAACGAAUAUGUCAUGGCUUCACACACCCAGAGGCAAUGAGCUCACCUGUUCCCAGUCACCUCCUCUCCGGCCACCACUUAAGAUUGUCUGGAGACUUCUUGUGCUGACAGAGAUUCUGAAGUAGAAUUGCCUCUCUGUCUGGAACCUGGACUUCAUUAUCAGAAACCCUUAGAUGAACUGUUGUUAUCCUUUGUGUUAACAAUAAACUUUUG